This is a non-coding RNA of Acanthosepion pharaonis, 111 nucleotides long. The record is from the annotation of a GenBank genome assembly. NCBI's taxonomy places the organism in Eukaryota, Metazoa, Mollusca, Cephalopoda, Sepiida, Sepiidae.
UAACCAUAUCAAGUUGAAACACCAGUGCUCGUCUGAUCACCAAAGCUAUGCAAUGUUGAGCUUGGUCAGUACCUAGAUGGGUGACUGUUUGGGAAUAGCAGGUGCUGUAAG